GAUGAACGCUGGCGGCGUGCCUAAUACAUGCAAGUCGAGCGAAGCGGGGACGGGUGAGUAACACGUGGAUAACCUCCUAUAAGACGGGGAUAACUUCGGGAAACCGGAGCUAACCCCGUUACUGAUCGAUGGGUCUGCGCUGCAUUAGCUAGUUGGUAAGGUAAAGGCUGACCAAGGCAACGAUGCAUAGCGGACCUGAGAGGGUGAUCGGCCACACUGGAACUGAGACACGGUCCAGACUCCUACGGGAGGCAGCAGUAGGGAAUCUUCCGCAAUGGGCGAAAGCCUGACGGAGCCACGCCGCGUGAGUGAUGAAGGUCUUCGGAUCGUAAAACUCUGUUAGUAGGGAAGCGGUACCUAAUCAGAAAGCCCCGGCUAACUACGUGCCAGCAGCCGCGGUAAUUC
Molecule: ribosomal RNA, 405 nt
Filed under: uncultured bacterium
Lineage: Bacteria
Description: partial 16S ribosomal RNA
Rfam family: Bacterial small subunit ribosomal RNA
Source: RNAcentral